UCGUCGACAUGCCGCGCGGCGAGCACGGAUUCGGCUACGACCCGUAUUUCUACCUGCCGUCGCUCGGCGCGACGGCCGCCGAAC
This 84-nucleotide transfer RNA is filed under the name Burkholderia lata. RNAcentral describes it as "tRNA-Arg". Lineage: Bacteria; Pseudomonadati; Pseudomonadota; Betaproteobacteria; Burkholderiales; Burkholderiaceae. The record is from RNAcentral.